GCCAGGCAUGGUGGCGCGUGCCUGUAGUCCCAACUACUCAGGAGGCUGAGGCAGGAGGAUCACCUGAGCCCAGGAAGUCAAGGCUGCAGUGAGCUAUGAUCGCAUCACUGCAUUCCAGCCUGGGUGACAGAGCGAGACCCUGUCUCAA
Homo sapiens (human) is the source of this 148-nucleotide non-coding RNA. It matches the Rfam family "Metazoan signal recognition particle RNA". Rfam says of the family: The signal recognition particle (SRP) is a universally conserved ribonucleoprotein. It is involved in the co-translational targeting of proteins to membranes. The eukaryotic SRP consists of a 300-nucleotide 7S RNA and six proteins: SRPs 72, 68, 54, 19, 14, and 9. The record is from Rfam. NCBI's taxonomy places the organism in Eukaryota, Metazoa, Chordata, Mammalia, Primates, Hominidae.